GNNNUGAGUAUNNNUNNNNNNGGCGGAAUGCGUGNNNNNGCGGUGAAAUGCAUAGAUAUCACGCAGAACUCCGAUUGCGAAGGCAGCUUGCCAAGCCAUAACUGACACUGAAGCACGAAAGCGUGGGUAUCAAACAGGAUUAGAUACCCUGGUAGUCCACGCAGUAAACGAUGAUUACUAGGAGUUUGCGAUAAAAUGUAAGCUCUACAGCGAAAGCGUUAAGUAAUCCACCUGGGGAGUACGCCGGCAACGGUGAAACUCAAAGGAAUUGACGGGGGCCCGCACAAGCGGAGGAACAUGUGGUUUAAUUCGAUGAUACGCGAGGAACCUUACCCGGGUUUGAACGCAGUCCGACCGCCGAUGAAAGUCGGCUUCUAGCAAUAGCGGAUUGCGAGGUGCUGCAUGGUUGUCGUCAGCUCGUGCCGUGAGGUGUCGGCUUAAGUGCCAUAACGAGCGCAACCCUUGCCGUUAGUUACUAACAAGUUAUGUUGAGGACUCUAGCGGGACUGCCAGCGUAAGCUGUGAGGAAGGCGGGGAUGACGUCAAAUCAGCACGGCCCUUACAUCCGGGGCGACACACGUGUUACAAUGGCGUGGACAAAGAGCAGCCACUUGGCGACAAGGAGCUAAUCUCCAAACCACGUCUCAGUUCGGAUCGGAGUCUGCAACUCGACUCCGUGAAGCUGGAUUCGCUAGUAAUCGCGCAUCAGCCAUGGCGCGGUGAAUACGUUCCCGGGCCUUGUACACACCGCCCGUCAAGCCAUGGGAGCCGGGGGUACCUGAAGUCCGUAACCGCGAGGAUCGGCCUAGGGUAAAACUGGUGACUGGGGCUAAGUCGUAACAAGGUAACCA
This 851-nucleotide ribosomal RNA is filed under the name uncultured bacterium. RNAcentral describes it as "bacterial SSU rRNA". It matches the Rfam family "Bacterial small subunit ribosomal RNA", at positions 639 to 1502 of the family's 1533-position model. The record is from RNAcentral.